ACAUAAUUUUCUCUAAUUAUAACCAGACAAAAGCAAUAAACAUCACCCUUACAAACAAACGCAUUUGUUUUAGGUAAUCCCCGCGACGAACAAAUCCACAACUUCUUUCCCAUUUUCGACUGCUUUCGUCUCAAGUCCAAAUCCCGACAACAACAUCCCCUCCACUCGACGGAUCAAUGGAUCAUUGUCUACGACGAGCGCCCUUUUUUUUCGCCCUCCCUCCAUUUUUCCUCCUGCGAAACAAAGCACCAUGCAUGCAUGUUGAGUAUACAUGUAGGCAUGUAUAUAUAUAUAUAUAUAUCGAGAGAGAGAGAGAGAGAGAGAGAGAACCUUUGGAAGAAGAGAUUUUGAUGAAGCAACUUUUUGGAGAAGAUAUGAAAGUGUUGGCUGCAACCAGAUUUUCCGCGCUUAUGGUCUAAAAUUUGGAGAUUUUGAUGCAAUGAAUUGAAUGGGGAUUGGCAUUCAUCAUUUUCCGUCUGGGAGAAAUCUGUGUGGUAGAUUUGCAGUGUUUAGUUAUAAUUCAUGUUGUGUGAUCUAUUUUUCAUAUCGGGAUUUAGCACCUUUUCAAACAGAAUCUUGUUACUGUGGCAUGUGGAAAUCACAGGUGAAAUUCAAAUUACA
Molecule: long non-coding RNA, 621 nt
Organism: Salvia miltiorrhiza (redroot sage)
Lineage: Eukaryota; Viridiplantae; Streptophyta; Magnoliopsida; Lamiales; Lamiaceae
Exons: 2
Source: RefSeq, a predicted model, not a curated record